AGAGUUUGAUCCUGGCUCAGAUUGAACGCUGGCGGCAUGCCUUACACAUGCAAGUCGAACGGCAGCAUGAUCUAGCUUGCUAGAUUGAUGGCGAGUGGCGAACGGGUGAGUAAUACAUCGGGACGUGCCCUGUAGUGGGGGAUAACUAGUCGAAAGAUUAGCUAAUACCGCAUACGACCUGAGGGUGAAAGUGGGGGACCGCAAGGCCUCAUGCUAUAGGAGCGGCCGAUGUCUGAUUAGCUAGUUGGUGGGGUAAAGGCCCACCAAGGCGACGAUCAGUAGCUGGUCUGAGAGGACGAUCAGCCACACUGGGACUGAGACACGGCCCAGACUCCUACGGGAGGCAGCAGUGGGGAAUUUUGGACAAUGGGCGAAAGCCUGAUCCAGCAAUGCCGCGUGUGUGAAGAAGGCCUUCGGGUUGUAAAGCACUUUUGUCCGGAAAGAAAUGGCUCUGGUUAAUACCUGGGGUCGAUGACGGUACCGGAAGAAUAAGGACCGGCUAACUACGUGCCAGCAGCCGCGGUAAUACGUAGGGUCCAAGCGUUAAUCGGAAUUACUGGGCGUAAAGCGUGCGCAGGCGGUUGUGCAAGACCGAUGUGAAAUCCCCGAGCUUAACUUGGGAAUUGCAUUGGUGACUGCACGGCUAGAGUGUGUCAGAGGGGGGUAGAAUUCCACGUGUAGCAGUGAAAUGCGUAGAGAUGUGGAGGAAUACCGAUGGCGAGGGCAGCCCCCUGGGAUAACACUGACGCUCAUGCACGAAAGCGUGGGGAGCAAACAGGAUUAGAUACCCUGGUAGUCCACGCCCUAAACGAUGUCAACUAGUUGUUGGGGAUUCAUUUCCUUAGUAACGUAGCUAACGCGUGAAGUUGACCGCCUGGGGAGUACGGUCGCAAGAUUAAAACUCAAAGGAAUUGACGGG
Molecule: ribosomal RNA, 919 nt
Filed under: uncultured bacterium
Lineage: Bacteria
Description: bacterial SSU rRNA
Rfam family: Bacterial small subunit ribosomal RNA
Source: RNAcentral